This 377-nucleotide ribosomal RNA is filed under the name uncultured eukaryote. Its description in RNAcentral is "SSU rRNA". It matches the Rfam family "Eukaryotic small subunit ribosomal RNA", at positions 587 to 972 of the family's 1831-position model. The record is from RNAcentral.
AGCUCCAAUAGCGUAUAUUUAAGUUGUUGCAGUUAAAAAGCUCGUAGUUGGAUUUCUGCCAGGCGGCGUAGGUCUGCCUUUCGGUGUGUACUUGCGUCGUUUGGUAUUUAAUCGGGGUGGGCGUUGCACUUGAUUGUGUGACGUUUGGCUCGGUGCAGAUACUUUGAGUUAAGGUUAGUGUUCCAAGCAGGCGUUUGCCGUGAUAUUUGCAGCAUGGGAUAUCGAGACAGGACUUCGGUCCUAUCUUGUUGGUUCUCGGGAUCGAAGUAAUGAUUAAUAGGGAUAGUUGGGGGCAUUCGUAUUUAACUGUCAGAGGUGAAAUUCUUGGAUUUGUUAAAGACGAACUACUGCGAAAGCAUUUGCCAAGGAUGUUUUCA